RNAcentral lists this ribosomal RNA (153 nucleotides) under uncultured eukaryote. RNAcentral's name for it is "partial small subunit ribosomal RNA". It matches the Rfam family "Eukaryotic small subunit ribosomal RNA", at positions 1651 to 1801 of the family's 1831-position model. The record is from RNAcentral.
CCCUGCCAUUUGUACACACCGCCCGUCGCUACUACCGAUUGAAUGGCUUAGUGAGGCUUUCGGACUGGCUCAGGGAGGUCGGCAACGACCACCCAGAGCCGGAAAGUUAGUCAAACUUGGUCAUUUAGAGGAAGUAAAAGUCGUAACAAGGUU